CGUUGAAACGGAUUUACGAGUGGCGAAGAUCGCUGCUAAGGCCAAAUCUUCACCGUUGAAACCUAACCCUAAUCUAGUUUUGUAAGACUUUUUCUCUCUGUUGCGUUUUUAGUCACUGUGAUAUUGUGUUAUAUAUCACAAUGAUGAAAGAAAAUUUGUAAUUUUCUAUAUUCUUCUGGUUUUCUCGCCCAGUACCAGAUGAAAAAAUGCGUAGUCUUCGUUAAGACCAGAGAGAGAGAGAGAGAGAGGUAUUCUCGGUAAGUCCGUUUCUUUUUUUUGAUAUUGUACAAGGUAACCUGAUUUUUU
This 306-nucleotide non-coding RNA is filed under the name Bombus superbus. The record is from RNAcentral. Lineage: Eukaryota; Metazoa; Arthropoda; Insecta; Hymenoptera; Apidae.